CUUACGUUUUUGCGCCCGCGGUCCUUGUCUUUUGCGGUCGCAUUCCUGAUCUCUAUUUUUAACUGGAUGCUGUCAUAAGGACAGAAACAUCCCCCUCCCGAAUGUAAAAACAUUCGAACCCAACUAACAAAACUAGUUAAUAUAUAACUGCGACGUGGUCCAUGUCUUAGGUAACUGUCCGAGCGUUAUGAAUUGUCUCCUGCGUAUUCAAAAGUGCACAACCGGUGCACCGGACGCAAGUAUUCACCGUCUUUCGUUUUUAUCCUUACAACCCGUACCAAUCCGUCAUUUCCAGGAAAUACUUCGAUAACUCGACCAAGAGGCCAUUCUCCUCUCUCUGCAUUCGGCUCUACUAACAUUACGUCGUCCUCCUUUAGGUUGUGUGUCGGAUGAAACCACUUCUUUCGUGUAUUUAAGCUCGGCAGAAACUCUCCUCCAGCGUUUCCAAAACUGCCCCACCAACUGCUGUACACGAUGCCAACGCUUUCGGGGGUUGAAAACUUCAUCUCUAUCUGCGGUUUCAGGAGCAAACUUUCCUCCCAACUGUCCGAUAAGGAAAUGACUCUGGGUCAACGGGGAAAGAUCAUCAGGAUCUGAACUGACGAAGGUGAUUGGUCGUGAGUUUAAUAAACGUUCUGCAUCGCAAAUGGCAGUAUGAAGUUCCUCGUCGGUAAUGUCCGCAUUACCAAGAAUGGCUUUUAUGGCUUUCUUAGCACUCUUGAUCAUUGCCUCGAAUACACCACCGAAGUGUGGGGCCGAUGGGGGAUUGAACUUCCACUCCAUGUCAUAAUCUUGUGUUGUCUUAUUUGCUAUUUUUUCUUGAUCAAAUGCUUCUACAAACUCUCAAAGUUCUCGUUCCGCUCCAAUAAAGUUGGUACCGUUAUCAGAAACUACGUAUGUCGGCUUCCCCCUCCUUGUUACCAUCCUGGUAAGGGACUGGUCAUAAAGUAACUGCUAGGGUGGGCUGGAGGUAAAUCACAAAUUUUGCCAAUAAGUUUGGUGACCCAUCUUAGGAUGUAGAUAAAAAUUUCAAAGCCCAUCUAAUCUUACAAAAAAAUUUUCAUGACCCACCCAAUUUAAAUUGGGAAAAUACACUUUUAUAAUAAAAAAAACAAACUUGCAGGUAUGAACAUUGUAAAUAUACACCGGCACUGUAUUGACACACAUAAUUCCACCAAGCUUGACCAACACAUUCAUCACCAAUUACGAUAAUGAGCUGCUCUCCAGUUGGUUGUAUUUGCUAUGAUUCAACCACUUCUUGUUGUUGUAUAAACAAAGUACUGGCUUCAAUAGUAUCAUUUGCAUUUGAUAAUUUGGAUAGUUUUGUUUACUUUUAUUAUUAAUAUCUUUAUUUUUGAAGUAGACACUGCAUGCAUGGGUUUUUGUUUGGUGGCCCAACCGUGGACAUACAAAAAAAUUGGCGGCCCAUCGAAACUGCGCAAAGAUUUUCCAUGGCCCAUCCCAAAUCACUCCAGCCCACCCUAGCAGUUACUUUAUGACCGGUCCCUAAACGCGUUUACAAAGGAAUCGGUAUCCAGGGAAUACGCCAUUUCCAAAUGUACAGCCCGUGUAGUAAGACAAGUAAAUAGACACAGGUAACGUUUUGCUCUUGUCUUGCCUCUUCCCUGUUUGGUCAAGUAUGGUCCGCCGUAAUCCACACCAACGCGUUCAAAGGCUCGUAAGGGGUAUUGCAAUCUUGACAUCGGUAACGGAGUCAUCAUUUGAGUAGUUGGUUUUCCGGUGAAUCGUCUACGACAGCCAGGACACUUUUCAAUCGUAUUUCGCACAGUUCGUCUUCCUUUGAUUAUCCAGAAUCGGGCACGCAGCUCAGUUAGAACAUGUUCAACACCAGAACCGUGUCCGAGAUUCUCGUGUGCACUUAUAAUUAUCAGACGUGUUACAGUAUGAUCUUUGGGUAAUAAAAUGGGAUGUCUAACACCAUAUGGCACGUCAGUGGCGUUGCGUAAUCGGCCGUCAGAUCGUAAUAAACCAUUCUCGUCUUUCUUUGGAUUUAAUUGAAUCAAACACUUUUCUUUCACACCGUCGGGAAACGCCUCGCUCUGUGUUCGUUUAAAGCAAUAUGUCUCUGCUUGCUGUAAUUCUUGUGCUCGGAGCGUCCGACUUUUUUCUCGGUUUUCGUUAGGCUGUUUGCAAUUACUCAGGAAACGUCGAACCCAUCCGGUGACGCGCACUAAUCUUUGAAAGCUCGAGAAACGAUUUGGAUCAAUGAGACUUUGGUUUGAACUGUCCCUUGUUGUGUGAGUAACGUUAACCUUUCGUCUUUCGCCUUCGACAAUAUUUCUCUGAACUUCUUCGUUGGGGAUUUGAGGGGGCCAUGUUGACUCGUCUUGUUGUAGAAUUUCUGGUCCCUUCUUCCACAAUUCGUUGUUUGCUAGGUCUGUGGCUGACAAUCCUCUUGUUGGCAGGUCUGCUGGAUUCGACUCUCCAGG
Molecule: non-coding RNA, 2450 nt
Organism: Paramuricea clavata
Lineage: Eukaryota; Metazoa; Cnidaria; Anthozoa; Malacalcyonacea; Plexauridae
Source: the annotation of a GenBank genome assembly